Non-coding RNA from Salvelinus sp. IW2-2015, 325 nucleotides. The record is from RefSeq and is a predicted model, not a curated record. NCBI's taxonomy places the organism in Eukaryota, Metazoa, Chordata, Actinopteri, Salmoniformes, Salmonidae.
UCAAUCACUGCUGUGAUCCCUUCCCAACUGUGUACAUCCAGCUCUGAUCCAAUGCAGUGUAUGGAGAGCAGUGCCCCCUGCUGGUUGACCGUCAGAACAGCUGCCAAUGACUGGACCUGGACCAGGUCAGCAUCAUCUCCAGCUGGACAACUGGACUGGAUCAGGUCAUCCUCUACAGCUGGAAGAGCAGGACCACACCAGUGUUCUCCUAGCAGCACCUGCUCUUCCAGACCACACAGAGCAUCUGGAGCUCAGAGACACCUGUCAUCAUCAUUGACCUCUGACCCCCAGCUGGAGCGCCGCUCUGGAAACACUGGGAAGAGCC